UACGAAGGGGGCUAGCGUUGCUCGGAAUCACUGGGCGUAAAGCGCACGUAGGCGGAUUCCUAAGUCGGGGGUGAAAUCCUGGAGCUCAACUCCAGAACUGCCUUCGAUACUGGGAAUCUUGAAUCCGGGAGAGGGAUGCGGAAUUCCAGGUGUAGCGGUGAAAUGCGUAGAUAUCAGGAAGAACACCCGUGGCUAAGGCGGCUCUCUAGUACGUGACUGACGCUGAGACGCGAAAGCGUGGGGAGCGAACAGG
RNAcentral lists this ribosomal RNA (253 nucleotides) under uncultured bacterium. RNAcentral's name for it is "partial 16S ribosomal RNA". It matches the Rfam family "Bacterial small subunit ribosomal RNA", at positions 524 to 776 of the family's 1533-position model. The record is from RNAcentral.